RNAcentral lists this ribosomal RNA (591 nucleotides) under uncultured bacterium. RNAcentral describes it as "bacterial SSU rRNA". It matches the Rfam family "Bacterial small subunit ribosomal RNA", at positions 334 to 917 of the family's 1533-position model. The record is from RNAcentral.
UACUCCUACGGGAGGCAGCAGUGGGGAAUUUUGGACAAUGGGCGCAAGCCUGAUCCAGCCAUGCCGCGUGUCUGAAGAAGGCCUUCGGGUUGUAAAGGACUUUUGUCAGGGAAGAAAAGGCUGUUGCUAAUAUCGACAGCUGAUGACGGUACCUGAAGAAUAAGCACCGGCUAACUACGUGCCAGCAGCCGCGGUAAUACGUAGGGUGCGAGCGUUAAUCGGAAUUACUGGGCGUAAAGCGAGCGCAGACGGUUACUUAAGCAGGAUGUGAAAUCCCCGGGCUCAACCUGGGAACUGCGUUCUGAACUGGGUGACUAGAGUGUGUCAGAGGGAGGUAGAAUUCCACGUGUAGCAGUGGAAUGCGUAGAGAUGUGGAGGAAUACCGAUGGCGAAGGCAGCCUCCUGGGAUAACACUGACGUUCAUGCUCGAAAGCGUGGGUAGCAAACAGGAUUAGAUACCCUGGUAGUCCACGCCCUAAACGAUGUCAAUUAGCUGUUGGGCAACUUGAUUGCUUAGUAGCGUAGCUAACGCGUGAAAUUGACCGCCUGGGGAGUACGGUCGCAAGAUUAAAACUCAAAGGAAUUGACGGA